This 497-nucleotide ribosomal RNA is filed under the name uncultured bacterium. RNAcentral's name for it is "partial 16S ribosomal RNA". It matches the Rfam family "Bacterial small subunit ribosomal RNA", at positions 28 to 507 of the family's 1533-position model. The record is from RNAcentral.
GACGAACGCUGGCGGCGUGCCUAAUACAUGCAAGUCGAGCGGACAGACGGGAGCUUGCUCCCUGAUGUUAGCGGCGGACGGGUGAGUAACACGUGGGUAACCUGCCUGUAAGACUGGGAUAACUCCUGGAAACCGGGGCUAAUACCGGAUGGUUGUCUGAACCGCAUGGUUCAGACAUAAAAGGUGGCUUCGGCUACCACUUACAGAUGGACCCGCGGCGCAUUAGCUAGUUGGUGAGGUAACGGCUCACCAAGGCAACGAUGCGUAGCCGACCUGAGAGGGUGAUCGGCCACACUGGGACUGAGACACGGCCCAGACUCCUACGGGAGGCAGCAGUAGGGAAUCUUCCGCAAUGGACGAAAGUCUGACGGAGCAACGCCGCGUGAGUGAUGAAGGUUUUCGGAUCGUAAAGCUCUGUUGUUAGGGAAGAACAAGUGCCGUUCAAAUAGGGCGGCACCUUGACGGUACCUAACCAGAAAGCCACGGCUAACUACGUG